Molecule: RNA transcript, 1695 nt
Organism: Morus notabilis
Lineage: Eukaryota; Viridiplantae; Streptophyta; Magnoliopsida; Rosales; Moraceae
Exons: 15
Source: RefSeq, a predicted model, not a curated record
AAAAAGUGGGGUAAAUUUGGAAGGCAAAAUAUCAGGUGGAAUCAGUGAAAUCCAAACGGAAAAGAAGAAACCACGAUGUGGCGGCAACAAGCAUGUUCGGCAAACCCAGAUUCUGAUCAGAGCAUUUCCGAUGACGACCAAGACCUCGGCCACAAUUGGCCGGGAAAUUGCCUUUCUUUGGCCGCUUCUACAGAGAAAAAGGAAGGAUUAGAAAUUUUAUCACGCCUAGAGCGACUGAAAGGUACUCUUGAAAGUGGAACUAAAACUAGUAUUUUGCCACAUGAGCCAAGAAGUUCGAAUUGUGAAGAUGAUGUUGAGAUGCCCAACUUCUAUGACGAGGGUGAUUCCGUAUGCCCCCCAGAGAAGGCAAUAUCUAAAGAUGAGGAAAACAAUGUGCUGCCAAAGCUUUCCGCCAGGGUUGGAGCCAAGAAGUUCUCCGACGAUUCUUUACUUCGCGUUGGGAUUGAAAAACAGGGAAGCUUAUUCUCGUGGUCUUCUGCGAGUAAAGAGGCCGAGGCACUGAUGCAUCUGAAUGAACAUGCUUCAUGCAAUUCCAGACCAAAGAAAUCUUCUAAAUUAAAAGGUAAAGGCAAGCCAAGAUUUUCAUUCCGUUUCCAGUCACAUAAAGGACUAUCUUCGCCUGCUACUUCUAAAGAUGAAAAUAACUUGUCAUCAAGUAUCCUUGAAGCACCGGAAAGAUUGGAUGUGAUGGAGCUUAGAACCGAAGAAAAUUUAGUCGCUGAGCUUCCUGAAGAUAUUCAGGUUGAAGAGGAAAAUAUGUCGGAAAUUAUUCCCCAUGAAGUGGAAGCUCUUAGGCACAAAUGUAGCGAGCAAUCAAUGGCUGAACUUUUAUAUGGCCUUCAGGAUAACGCUAGUCUUCUGAGGGGAAACUCGGAAAAGAAUAGCAGUAAAAUAGGAAAAAGGCUACAGCCUGUUGUGAGGAGAAAUAUAUCUAUGUUGGGAGAUAGAACUGUAAACAAAGAAGAUUCCCCUGAUCUUGUAGAGAGUAGCGGAUCAUCAAGUGAUAGUGAGACGAGUGAUAAGGACCUAGAGAUCGCCAUGUCUGUGAAGAAAGGGCAAACGAUGGUAGACCAGUUCCAGGAAGCUUUAGGUGCUACUUUCUUAAAUGAUAAACCACAAGGAAGUGGAUUAUUUUUGAAACUGCAGCAGGUCAUGCAGAGAGAAAAAGAACAAGAGAUGGAUUUCGUGCAGAAGUUAAAGAAUGGAGAAUACCAAAAUGAACCAAACUGCAUUUAUGUUAAAAUCCUGACAAGAUGCUUGGAUGGAAAGCUGACCGUUUGUGACUGUCUCUUCAGCGAUAACAUUGAGAGCCUUGCAUGGUCAGAACCCCUCAAAGAAACGGCAAGUGAAGGAACAAAGAGGACUAUUAUUUUCAAUCCUAGAGUUCCCAACAGUGUGGACAGUGUCAAUGUAGAUCUUGAAGUUGGGAAUUGCAUUCGUAUUCAUCCACCAUGGAAGGAGAUUCAAGUGGGCAAUGACAAAAUCAUAAUUUUAGCUACUUAUUUUUCGAACUUCCAACUAACAAGUCCGAGUUUGGCAGAGGAGGUUUAAUUUUGGCAUUGCUUGACCAAUAUUCUGUUUCUUGGAGAACAACAACAAACUUAUUGUAUAUCAUAUUUGAGCUAACAAGAUGUUAGAGUACGUGAAAAAGCGUGCAUGGACCGUUUCAACACG